UUCAAGACAUUUCAAAAUCGCCCGCUUCCCUGCUUCUCUCUCUCUCUCGAUUCCAGAUCUGGAUCUGGAACUAGGGUUUUCCUCCAAGGCGAUUCAAGCUGCUACUCAGAAGGAUCUUACAUCUGGUACACAAUAUCUUCUUCCUAUCAACCCUAAACUUAAUGGAGAUGGUGGAAAGGGUGGUCGGAUAUGUUCCGAGUUAAAAUCUAGGGCUUCCAUGCCGUUCGGAACCAAAACACUCCGAUUAGGGUUUUGUGUGAGAGAUGGUGCUGAAAAAAUGAAGCAACUUAAGAACCAUUAGCAGUGUGCUUGAAGACGAGGUUUUUUCGGUUUAGGAUUUAAUGAUAUGUUUUUAGAACUGUCUUCUAGAGACAGAUUGUUGAAUUUAUCUACUGUUGAAGUUUAGUCCGAGAAAGGGAUGCCCACUAUCGCUGGAAAAUCAAGAAGUGAAUCAAAGGACAAGGAAAAGAAGCAUAAAAGGCACAAGGACAAAGACCGAGACAAGGACAAAGAGCAUAAAAAACAUAAACAUCGUCAUAAAGAUCGAAAUAAAGAUAAGGGCAAAGAAAAAAAGAAGGAUAAAAGCAGUCAUCAUGACAAGAAAAGGAAGCAUGAUGGAAUUAUGGAAACGAAGAUGUCAGUGACACUCACAAGCAGAAGAAAAGUAAGCAUAAGAACUCAAAGAUUGAUGAGAUAGGAGCGUUUAAGAUAGCAGCUUGAACCACAGAACCUGCAAUCAGAGUGGGCUACUGUAGGUUGAGACCACCGGUUAGGCCAAUCUUGCUGAAUCAACCAACCCAGACGGUUCUCGUGCAGCGAUAACUAAAUGAAUUCUGAAUCCGAUUUGGGAGGAAAUCAGAUCGCUCGCCGAGUCUGGAAAGAUUAUUACGUGAAGUUUUACCCACGAACAACGGUGUUUGUGGUAGCCGGCGAACACGAUGAUGGUGUUUUAUGGCGAUUAAGCAGCGGCAACAACGGUGGCUAGCGGCCACAGCCACUCUCCGGCGUUAUCCGUAACCGAAUCAGCGUCGACGGUUCAAGGGUUUUAAGGCUAGAUUAGCUGCAGAUGCGAUUCCGGUCCAAUUUAUCUUCUGGUGAACGUGCUGCUGGCUAAGAGGUUCAGGAAGGUGCACGCCUAGGCGCCCAAGCGAGGUGAAACAUUCUGAAAACCUAAGUACGCAGGCGCGGUGAACCAUUCUAAAAACCGGCUUGAACCAGCUCUGAAGUCUGAACCUGUGUGGAAUACACAUGCGCCCUGCUUGCUUUGGGGCAUCGCUUACGUGCCUUUAGCUUAGCCGACUAGCUCAUCUUUUGCACCUUGAGCCUUUGACUACCUAGAUUAACUUGGUAUACGUUUGUGAAAAUCUUUUCAUUAUGACAACUUGGUAUAAGUAUGCGGAAUUGUUUGAAUUCGGAGAUUUUUUUUUUUGCAACCAUAAAUCGCGGGGUCGUGUAGUUCUGUUUGAGACAAUAAUGUUAAACUAUGAUGAUGUUUAUUGCAGUACAUACCCACUAUUUAGUUUG
Molecule: long non-coding RNA, 1524 nt
Organism: Helianthus annuus (common sunflower)
Lineage: Eukaryota; Viridiplantae; Streptophyta; Magnoliopsida; Asterales; Asteraceae
Exons: 9
Source: RefSeq, a predicted model, not a curated record